Pseudopodoces humilis (Tibetan ground-tit) is the source of this 318-nucleotide non-coding RNA. NCBI's taxonomy places the organism in Eukaryota, Metazoa, Chordata, Aves, Passeriformes, Paridae. The record is from RefSeq and is a predicted model, not a curated record.
ACCUGUAAGUUGUCAACCUUCUGUCAAGAAACAGGAAAGAAUCCUCUGCAGAGAAGUUGAAUCAGUGAUUGGUAUAAAUGUAGGAAAUUUAGGUGCUCCUUAAAUCAAUUAGUAGGAAAACCUGGAAGAGGGAAAAAAGAAGAAUCAAGGGGUAAAGGACUUGGAAGAAAAAAAAAGAGGAAGAGUAUCAUAAUGAAACUGUGAGAGGACUGGUGCUUUGGUCAGGAAUUGAUACUAUAAUGGUUUUUGUAAAGUAAAUAAGGAAAAUUGCAACUAUUGAUAAUGGUGCAGAAGUGGUGGGCAUUUUGUGGAUCUGUC